Molecule: ribosomal RNA, 491 nt
Filed under: uncultured bacterium
Lineage: Bacteria
Description: partial 16S ribosomal RNA
Rfam family: Bacterial small subunit ribosomal RNA
Source: RNAcentral
AGUGAACGCUGGCGGUAGGCCUAACACAUGCAAGUCGAACGGCAGCACAGUAAGAGCUUGCUCUUACGGGUGGCGAGUGGCGGACGGGUGAGGAAUACAUCGGAAUCUACUUUUUCGUGGGGGAUAACGUAGGGAAACUUACGCUAAUACCGCAUACGACCUACGGGUGAAAGCAGGGGAUCUUCGGACCUUGCGCGAUUGAAUGAGCCGAUGUCGGAUUAGCUAGUUGGCGGGGUAAAGGCCCACCAAGGCGACGAUCCGUAGCUGGUCUGAGAGGAUGAUCGGCCACACUGGAACUGAGACACGGUCCAGACUCCUACGGGAGGCAGCAGUGGGGAAUAUUGGACAAUGGGCGCAAGCCUGAUCCAGCCAUACCGCGUGGGUGAAGAAGGCCUUCGGGUUGUAAGCCCUUUUGUUGGGAAAGAAAAGCAGCAGGUUAACACCCCGCUGUUCUGACGGUACCCAAAGAAUAAGCACCGGCUAACUUCGUG